AGAGUUUGAUCCUGGCUCAGAUUGAACGCUGGCGGAAUGCUUUACACAUGCAAGUCGAACGGCAGCACGGACUUCGGUCUGGUGGCGAGUGGCGAACGGGUGAGUAACAUAUCGGAACGUAUCCAAUAAUGGGGGAUAACUAAUCGAAAGGUUGGCUAAUACCGCAUACGCCCUACGGGGGAAAGCUAGGGACCUUCGGGCCUGGCGUUAAUGGAGCGGCCGAUAUCUGAUUAGCUAGUUGGUGAGGUAAAGGCUCACCAAGGCGACGAUCAGUAGCUGGUCUGAGAGGACGACCAGCCACACUGGAACUGAGACACGGUCCAGACUCCUACGGGAGGCAGCAGUGGGGAAUUUUGGACAAUGGGCGCAAGCCUGAUCCAGCCAUUCCGCGUGAGUGAAGAAGGCCUUCGGGUUGUAAAGCUCUUUCGCAAGGGAAGAAAACUUAUCCUCUAACAUAGGAUGAGGUUGACGGUACCUUGAUAAGAAGCACCGGCUAACUACGUGCCAGCAGCCGCGGUAAUACGUAGGGUGCGAGCGUUAAUCGGAAUUACUGGGCGUAAAGCGUGCGCAGGCGGCCUUGAAAGUCAGAUGUGAAAUCCCCGAGCUCAACUUGGGAACUGCGUUUGAAACUCCAAGGCUAGAAUAUGUCAGAGGGGGGUAGAAUUCCACGUGUAGCAGUGAAAUGCGUAGAGAUGUGGAGGAAUACCAAUGGCGAAAGCAGCCCCCUGGGAUAAUAUUGACGCUCAUGCACGAAAGCGUGGGGAGCAAACAGGAUUAGAUACCCUGGUAGUCCAUGCCGUAACGAUGUCUACUAGCCGUUGGGGCCUUUGA
Molecule: ribosomal RNA, 831 nt
Filed under: uncultured bacterium
Lineage: Bacteria
Description: bacterial SSU rRNA
Rfam family: Bacterial small subunit ribosomal RNA
Source: RNAcentral